Molecule: long non-coding RNA, 1590 nt
Filed under: Mytilus galloprovincialis (Mediterranean mussel)
Lineage: Eukaryota; Metazoa; Mollusca; Bivalvia; Mytilida; Mytilidae
Source: RNAcentral
AAUUGUCAAUACCUGUUCCAAGAGAAUAUUGGAACUAGUUAUUUUUCGGUGAAACAAGAUUAUUGUAAUGAUUUUCAAGACGUCAAAUGCUUGCAAAUUAUGACAGGUUUGUCAAUAUCUUUUUUUCUUUUCAUAGAUUGCAUACUUUUGGUAAAUUUCCGCCUGAAGACGGACAGUUUGCUUAUACAGAUAUUUGUGUUUUCUGAUUUUAAUAGUAACAUUACUUUCAAUUAAAACUUCUGACUUUUCAAAACUAAUUUAGCAUUUGAAGUAAAUAGUUUGAACACAUCUCAUUUUAAAUUUGAUUUAAUAAAACAUUCAAAGUACAUAUUAAGGCUUUCAUUUCAGUGCCUACCAACUAGCAUCAGCGACCUCGUAAAAAGAAAGCUAAAAAAGAUGAAAUAUAAAACGUUUUGAAGCAUACAAACCUAAAGGUUCCAGAUAAAGCGAUCGACGUCAACUUUGCCCUAAAAGAUUUGCAGCCUUAAUUUUUGUUAGAUAACAUAAUUCAUUACUUAUAAGAAGUAAAAUCAGAUAAAAUCAGAACUCCAAUGAAAAUACAAAACGAAAAGUCCUUUAUCAAAUGGAAAAAUCAAAAGCGCAAACACAAAUGAAUAAUAUAUAUGAAUGAAAAAUAAACGAAUGGAAAAUAACUGUCCUAUUCCUGACUUGGUAAAGCAUUUCUAUCUAUGUUGGAUUAAACUUGAUUUUACAGCAAGCAAAACCUCUCACUUCCUAUGACAGUCGCAUAGAAAUCCCAUUUUUUUGUCAACAAUGUGUGAGCAAAGCCUCACAUAAAAGGUAAAUAUCAAAAAUUAGGGUUCAGCCGUCAUCAUUGUGUUAUAUUCAUCAUCAGUUUGGAAACAACAACUAUUUUAAAAAAGAAUAACAAAAUGGCAUAUAGACACUCUAUACAAAAAGUAUAUCAGUGGAAAUGAAUGACAAGAAUACAAAAACAUGACAAUAGCGCAAUAACACAACGGUGGGAUGUAUAAAUUACGAGCCACACCAAACGGAUAUUUACCAAAACUAGACUGAACUAAAAAGGUUCAAUACAUACAAAUGCAAAUUAAAAGACCUAAGAUGAUAAACAACAUCAGUACCUACAUGUAUAAUAUAUACUUUAAAACCGUCAUCUUUUAUUUGUGAAGUUCAUACAGAUCAACAAGGCCUUGAUAUCUUCGGACGAAUUAAUUUUAAGAAAAAGAACGAGACACUCUUGGACACAAAUCUGGUUCAUCAAUUUUCUGCUCAGACACUGGUGACGUUUUAUAAUGGUUGAGUAGUUGUUGCAAGCUCUUGAAUACCGAAAGAGUUGAAAAAUGUAUAUCCCACAAGUAGGUGAAGCUGCUUUUAAAGGGAAAUUGCAAUGUCAACGUUAAAUUCGUCUAGUUUGUCAUGAUAUGUUGUUAGCAGUUUGACAGUUAUGAGUUGUAACGUUUGUCUUUCUUUCCGUUUCAGAUGCUUUGAAUUACGAGAUGAGUAUGGUUUGCACGACAACGACAACGGAUGCAUUCUAGUUUGUAUCUGCCUUGUACCUUUCCUGAUGGCGUACUUUGCAAUAUGAUGUUGUGUUUUUAAGACACUAAU